AGCAGCCGCGGUAAUUCCAGCUCCAAUAGCGUAUAUUAAAGUUGUUGCAGUUAAAAAGCUCGUAGUUGAAUUUCGGGGUCAGCAGGUUGGUCGUGCCUAUGGUAUGCACUGGCCUUGCUGAUUCCUCCCUCUUGUAGAACCGUAAUGCCAUUAAGUUGGUGUUGCGGGGAAACAGGAUUGUUACUUUGAAAAAAUUAGAGUGUUUAAAGCAGGCUAACGCCUGAAUACAUUAGCAUGGAAUAAUGAAAUAGGACGAUCGAUCCUAUUUUGUUGGUUUCUAGGAUUGACGUAAUGAUUAAUAGGGAUAGUUGGGGGCAUUAGUAUUCAAUUGUCAGAGGUGAAAUUCUUGGAUUUAUUGAAGACUAACUACUGCGAAAGCAUUUGCCAAGGAUGUUUUCAUUAAUCAAGAACGAAAGUUAGGGGAUCGAAGACGAUCAGAUACCGUCGUAG
RNAcentral lists this ribosomal RNA (450 nucleotides) under uncultured Glomeromycotina. Its description in RNAcentral is "SSU rRNA". It matches the Rfam family "Eukaryotic small subunit ribosomal RNA", at positions 569 to 1023 of the family's 1831-position model. Lineage: Eukaryota; Fungi; Glomeromycota. The record is from RNAcentral.